RNAcentral lists this ribosomal RNA (571 nucleotides) under uncultured bacterium. RNAcentral's name for it is "bacterial SSU rRNA". It matches the Rfam family "Bacterial small subunit ribosomal RNA", at positions 1 to 567 of the family's 1533-position model. The record is from RNAcentral.
AGGAGAGUUUGAUCAUGGCUCAGAUUGAACGCUGGCGGCAGGCUUAACACAUGCAAGUCGAGCGGUAACAGAGAUAGCUUGCUAUCUGCUGACGAGCGGCGGACGGGUGAGUAACGCGUAGGAAUCUACCUAGUAGUGGGGGACAACAGUUGGAAACGACUGCUAAUACCGCAUACGCCCUACGGGGGAAAGCAGGGGAUCUUCGGACCUUGCGCUAUUAGAUGAGCCUGCGUCGGAUUAGCUAGUUGGUGGGGUAAUGGCCUACCAAGGCGACGAUCCGUAGCUGGUCUGAGAGGAUGAUCAGCCACACUGGGACUGAGACACGGCCCAGACUCCUACGGGAGGCAGCAGUGGGGAAUAUUGCACAAUGGGCGCAAGCCUGAUGCAGCCAUGCCGCGUGUGUGAAGAAGGCCUUCGGGUUGUAAAGCACUUUCAGCGAGGAGGAAAGGAAUGUGGUUAAUACCCAUGUUCUGUGACGUUACUCGCAGAAGAAGCACCGGCUAACUCCGUGCCAGCAGCCGCGGUAAUACGGAGGGUGCGAGCGUUAAUCGGAAUUACUGGGCGUAAAGCG